RNAcentral lists this ribosomal RNA (1272 nucleotides) under Triticum aestivum (bread wheat). RNAcentral describes it as "partial small subunit ribosomal RNA". The record is from RNAcentral. Lineage: Eukaryota; Viridiplantae; Streptophyta; Magnoliopsida; Poales; Poaceae.
AUGGAGAUCGCUGCUGAGUGCGAGCACCGCAUGGAGCCGGUGCUGGUGACCCCGAGCCAGCCGACGCCGGCGCACACCCUCUACCUCUCCAACCUCGACGACCAGUGCCUCCUCCGCUUCUCCGUCGAGUACCUCUUUCGUUACUACCCGCUCGCCGGCAGGCUCGGGCCCGGGGACGACGGCAAGCUUGUCGUCGAUUGCAACGCGGAGGGGGCGCUUUUUGGGGAGGGGUUCCUGCCGGGGCUCACUGCCGACGAGUUCCUCCGGUGGUCUGCCACUCCUCACGAAUCCUGGAGGAAGCUGCUCCGCGGCGGAUCCAAGCCGCAGAGCCUGAUUGGCGUGCCCCCUCUUGUCGUCCAAGUGACUCGCCUCGGCUGCGGCGGCACCAUCCUCUGCACGGCCAUCAGCCACUGCCUCUGCGACGGCAUCGGCGCCGCACAGUUCCUCCAUGCGUGGGCGCGCGUCGCCAGGUUCGAAGCCGCCGAUCACCACGUCGCGCCCUUCCAUGACCGCUGCGUCCUGAGGCCGCGCUGCCCCCCGCGCGUCGCGUUCGAGCACCCGGAGUACGUGACAAACUCCGUCCCCAGCGGCGGUGACCCGGCGGCGACGCCCAGCCUCUUCUUCGGACCGCUGGCGCCGGUGUCUCUGACCUUCACGGGGGCACACGUCCAGCGCCACCGAUGCGUGCAGUGGCUCGAGGAUUGCACGUCCUUCGAGGCACUCGCGGCGCACGUCUGGCGCGCGUGGGUGCGGUCCCUCGGUCCUCCGAGCGACCUCCGCGUGAAACUCCUCUUCACCGUCGACAUCCGCCGUCGGGUGAACCCGGGCCUCCCCGAAGGGUACUACGGCAACGGCUUCGUGCUCGCAUGCGCCAAGUCGACGGCUGGGCAGUUGGCGGCGCCGUCCGGCGAGCACCACGCGGCGAGGCUGGUGCGGGCGGCCAAGGAGAUGAUUGACGAUGACUACGUCCGCUCCACGGUUGACCUCCUCGAGCUGCGACGGGACGCCAUGCCAGACCUCUCGGCGAGCCUGGUGAUCUCGGCGUGGACCCGGAUGGGGCUGGAGGACCUGGACAUCGGGGCCGGGCGGCCGGUGCACGUGGGCCCGCUGACCAGCGAGACGUACUGCUUGUUCCUCCCGGUGGUCGACGAUCCCCGUGGCGUGACUGCGCUGGUGUCGGUCCCGGAGGCGGCCGCCGAGAGGUUGGAGGACGGCUUCCUUCAUGGGUUGGAAUUGGAUGACAUGCAUGACGUGGAAAACGACGAGCAGUAA